Molecule: transfer RNA, 75 nt
Filed under: Planctomycetota bacterium
Lineage: Bacteria; Pseudomonadati; Planctomycetota
Description: tRNA-Gln
Rfam family: tRNA
About the family: Transfer RNA (tRNA) molecules are approximately 80 nucleotides in length. Their secondary structure includes four short double-helical elements and three loops (D, anti-codon, and T loops).
Source: RNAcentral
UCGCGGGUCGUCCAACGGAUAGGACGCCGGGCUCUGGACCCGGAAAUGAACGUUUGAAUCGUUCCCCGCGAACCA